CCUACGGGCGGCUGCAGUGGGGAAUAUUGGACAAUGGGGGGAACCCUGAUCCAGCCAUGCCGCGUGUGUGAAGAAGGCCCUCGGGUUGUAAUGCACUUUCAGUGAGGAAGAACGCCUGGUGGUUAAUACCCAUCAGGAAAGACAUCACUCACAGAAGAAGCACCGGCUAACUCCGUGCCAGCAGCCGCGGUAAUACGGAGGGUGCGAGCGUUAAUCGGAAUUACUGGGCGUAAAGCGCGCGUAGGUGGCUUGAUAAGCCGGUUGUGAAAGCCCCGGGCUCAACCUGGGAACGGCAUCCGGAACUGUCAAGCUAGAGUGCAGGAGAGGAAGGUAGAAUUCCCGGUGUAGCGGUGAAAUGCGUAGAGAUCGGGAGGAAUACCAGUGGCGAAGGCGGCCUUCUGGACUGACACUGACACUGAGGUGCGAAAGCGUGGGUAGCAAACAGGAUUAGAUACCCUGGUAGUC
RNAcentral lists this ribosomal RNA (465 nucleotides) under Vreelandella stevensii. RNAcentral's name for it is "partial 16S ribosomal RNA". It matches the Rfam family "Bacterial small subunit ribosomal RNA", at positions 338 to 795 of the family's 1533-position model. Lineage: Bacteria; Pseudomonadati; Pseudomonadota; Gammaproteobacteria; Oceanospirillales; Halomonadaceae. The record is from RNAcentral.